AGGUGUCAAGUUCUUUACUCCCAUCCUUUUGAUUGUUAUCUGCCCCUUUUAUAUCUUUUAGUGACUCCCCAUCAUCAAUGCCAAAAAGGUCACAUUGUUAUCUGCCCCUUUUACAUCUUUUAGUGACUCCCCAUCAUCAAUGCCAAAAAGGUCAGUAAGCCAUCUGGACCAACUCCCGAUCUGUGAUCCACAUGAAAAAAAUCAUAUACCGUAUCUCCAUCAAAAGAUAAAAAAUGGAGUAUUAUUUUUUCAGGAAUGUUACCAAUGACAUCUAAGCAACGUGCAUUAGAACGUAUUUG
Molecule: long non-coding RNA, 299 nt
Filed under: Nicotiana benthamiana
Lineage: Eukaryota; Viridiplantae; Streptophyta; Magnoliopsida; Solanales; Solanaceae
Description: long non-coding RNA (NBEN_LNC040933)
Source: RNAcentral